RNAcentral lists this ribosomal RNA (484 nucleotides) under uncultured bacterium. RNAcentral describes it as "partial 16S ribosomal RNA". It matches the Rfam family "Bacterial small subunit ribosomal RNA", at positions 28 to 507 of the family's 1533-position model. The record is from RNAcentral.
AUUGAACGCUGGCGGCAUGCCUUACACAUGCAAGUCGAACGGCAGCGCGGGCUUCGGCCUGGCGGCGAGUGGCGAACGUGUGAGUAAUGCCUCGGAACGUGCCCAGUAGUGGGGGAUAUCCCCGCGAAAGCCGGAUUAAUCCCGCAUACUACCUGAGUGUGAACGCGGGGGACCGAAAGGCCUCGCGCUAUUGGAGCGGCCGAUGUCGGAUUAGCUAGUUGGUGGGGUAAAGGCUUACCAAGGCGACGAUCCGUAGCUGGUCUGAGAGGAAGACCAGCCACACUGGGACUGAGACACGGCCCAGACUCCUACGGGAGGCAGCAGUGGGGAAUUUUGGACAAUGGGGGCAACCCUGAUCCAGCCAUGCCGCGUGCGGGAAGAAGGCCUUCGGGUUGUAAACCGCUUUUGUACGGGAAGAAAUCCUCUGGGCUAAUACCCCGGGGGGAUGACGGUACCGGAAGAAUAAGCACCGGCUAACUACGUG